RNAcentral lists this ribosomal RNA (1101 nucleotides) under Triticum aestivum (bread wheat). Its description in RNAcentral is "partial small subunit ribosomal RNA". The record is from RNAcentral. Lineage: Eukaryota; Viridiplantae; Streptophyta; Magnoliopsida; Poales; Poaceae.
AUGGCCCCCAUGGCGUCAAGGAAACGCGCCAGAUACUGUUGCGGCCUCUGCGGCCUCCUAAAGAAGGGCCAUGUCUGCCGCUUCGCCGGCGGAUCAUCUUCGGCGCGGCUGGUGCUGGGCCGAGAAGAAGCGGCGGCGCCCAUGGACCCUCCUUCUGCUGGCGCCAAGAAGGAGGAGGUCACCAUCAUCACCGCCCUCCCCAACGACGUCCUAGGCACCAUCAUCUCCGCGAUCCCAAUCGACGAGGCCGCCCGCACAAACGCCAUCUCCAAAGGCUGGAAACACCUCUGGCGCGACUACACUCCGCUCAACCUUGACGAUCGUGACCUCCACAAAAUGGCCUGGACCGGAGACAACCUGAUCGACCUUAUCUCAAACAUCCUCGAGGCUCCAUGCAAGGCAUCCUCGAGGCUCCACGCGAGGUACGUGCCCGUCGUCUUUCUCUCAGCACGCUAUGCGGUCACUUCGGUGACCAAGACCGCUGCCCCUUCUUCGAGCGAUGGUUCUGAUCCAAGCUUCUCGAUCGCCUCGAAGAUUUUCAUUUCAGCUACCUGCGGAAACUAUCACUUCCGCCGCGUGCACAUCAGCUCGCAAACUAUUGUAAGGUUCCGCAUGUUCGUUGACCCAGACAGUGAUGUGAUGGAAGAGCUCCUCAUAGUCAGCACUCCAAGCCUAGAGGAAGUGAUGCUCUGGGACCAAGGUUAUUGUGGUCCGCGAAUCAUACAUGUCCUUGUUGCCCCAAAACUUCACAUCUUGGGUUGCCUGCACAUUGAUAUCAUGUCCACCGUACAGCUUGGGAAGACAAUGCUCCAGACACUAACGAGCCAUGUUCCAAACAAGCAGAAUGACAUUCCAGUUGCUACUACUGUCGACUAUGUUGACAGACAUCUAAAGCAAGUAGUAGUGAGAAAUUAUUCUGGCAAGAAACCUGAUUACAACUUUGCCAAGUUCUUUCUUUUGAAUGCAAAAGCCCUAGAGUCGAUGAAGCUCCAUGUACCUUUUAGCCGGAACAACGAAUGGAGCUCUAGACAACGUAUGAAGAUGGAUGUUAAGAACAGAGCUUCUCCGAAUGCUUGGGUUUGUUUUGAGGACGCGGAGUGA